CAGUCGCCGCGGUAAUACGAAGGGGGCUAGCGUUGUUCGGAAUUACUGGGCGUAAAGCGUGCGCAGGCGGUUCGUUAAGACAGAUGUGAAAUCCCCGGGCUUAACCUGGGAACUGCAUUUGUGACUGGCGAGCUAGAGUAUGGCAGAGGGGGGUAGAAUUCCACGUGUAGCAGUGAAAUGCGUAGAGAUGUGGAGGAAUACCGAUGGCGAAGGCAGCCCCCUGGGCCAAUACUGACGCUCAUGCACGAAAGCGUGGGGAGCAAACAGGAUUAGAUACCCCUGUAGUCCCUGUCUCUUAUAU
Molecule: ribosomal RNA, 301 nt
Filed under: uncultured bacterium
Lineage: Bacteria
Description: partial 16S ribosomal RNA
Rfam family: Bacterial small subunit ribosomal RNA
Source: RNAcentral